Molecule: ribosomal RNA, 449 nt
Filed under: uncultured bacterium
Lineage: Bacteria
Description: partial 16S ribosomal RNA
Rfam family: Bacterial small subunit ribosomal RNA
Source: RNAcentral
CCUACGGGUGGCUGCAGUGGGGAAUAUUGCGCAAUGGGCGAAAGCCUGACGCAGCGACGCCGCGUGGGUGAUGAAGGCCUUCGGGUUGUAAAGCCCUGUCGGGUGGAACGAACGAUCUGGCGGCGAAUAACCGCCGGGUGUGACGGUACCACCGAAGGAAGCCCCGGCUAACUACGUGCCAGCAGCCGCGGUAAGACGUAGGGGUCAAGCGUUGUUCGGAUUUACUGGGCGUAAAGCGAGGUUGGGUGGCAAAUCCCUCGGCUUAACCGAGGUCCCGCAUCCGAUACUGUCUGGCUCGAGUCCAGGAGAGGAAAGCGGAAUUCCCAGUGUAGCGGUGAAAUGCGUAGAUAUUGGGAGGAACACCGGUGGCGAAGGCGGCUUUCCGGACUAGUACUGACGCUGAGGCGCGAAAGCGAGGGGAGCGAACGGGACUAGAUACCCUAGUAGUC